AUGAGGUGAUAAUGAGGGAGAUGAUAGGUGGCUGAAUUCUGGAUCUAUUUUGAAGCGUAAACCAAUAAGAUCUAUUGAUAGAUUGGAUAUGUGACAGGACAGCAGUCAAAAAAGAAAAUGCCACCAUUUUUGGUUUGAGAAUCAAAAGGAGGGAGUUUCCAUUAGCUAACGUGGAGAAGGCUAUGGGAGAGCAAGCCCCACCUCCUGAUUCCAGAAAGGGGCCUAGCAGAGUACCGAGGAAGACAGAUGAGUCUUUUCUUCCAUUGGAGUUGAUAAACUGAGUUAAGUCCUAAAGCUAAGGCUGAAAAUAGGGCAACUUGGUGUCAUUUGGGUAUAGGCAGAUGAUCUUGAGAAGAUGAGCCACACCAAACAAAUGAAGUAGAAUGCAUUUUGACACUUGUACACAAAUGGAGCACAAAUUCUUGAUCCUUGGAUAAAGAUUAUUAAAAGUAGAAAAGGGAAGAAGAGACAGGAAGAGGCCUGAAGAUACUUCCGCUCUCACUUUGAAGAUGGAGGAGGCCACACACCAAAAGUGCAGGUGGUCUCUCGAAGGUGGAAAAGGUAAGAGAGUUGAAUCACUUGUAGAGUCUUCAAAGAAUGCAGCCCUUUUGACAAUUUCACUUUAGCUGAGUAGAAUCCAGUUGAC
Molecule: non-coding RNA, 646 nt
Organism: Ictidomys tridecemlineatus (thirteen-lined ground squirrel)
Lineage: Eukaryota; Metazoa; Chordata; Mammalia; Rodentia; Sciuridae
Source: RefSeq, a predicted model, not a curated record